This 403-nucleotide ribosomal RNA is filed under the name uncultured soil bacterium. RNAcentral describes it as "bacterial SSU rRNA". It matches the Rfam family "Bacterial small subunit ribosomal RNA", at positions 27 to 441 of the family's 1533-position model. The record is from RNAcentral.
GGAUUGAACGCUGGCGGCAUGGCUAACACAUGCAAGUCGAACGGGAGUAGCAAUACUCUAGUGGCGGACGGGUGAGGAAUACGUAGGAAUUUGCCCUUAAGUGGGGGAUAACCCGGGGAAACCCGGAUUAAUACCGCAUGACCUCGAAAGAGCAAAGUGGGGGAUCGCAAGACCUCACGCUUUUGGAGAAGCCUACGUCGGAUUAGCUAGUUGGUGAGGUAAUGGCUCACCAAGGCGACGAUCCGUAACUGGUCUGAGAGGAUGAUCAGUCACACCGGAACUGAGACACGGUCCGGACUCCUACGGAGGCAGCAGUGGGGAAUAGUUGGACAAGUGGGCGCAAGGCCUGAUCCGAGCAAUGCCGCGUGUGUGAAGAAGGCCUUGGUUGUAAGCACGUUUAAGU